RNAcentral lists this long non-coding RNA (509 nucleotides) under Rattus norvegicus (Norway rat). RNAcentral describes it as "long non-coding RNA NONRATT005973". Lineage: Eukaryota; Metazoa; Chordata; Mammalia; Rodentia; Muridae. The record is from RNAcentral.
CGGCCGCGGACGCCGCGGGCGGUGGUGGAGGCCCCCGCGGGACUUGAGCGGUGUCUCCUCCGCGUCGGGCGGGCGAACCGCGCCUUACCGCCGCCGCCUCCCGCUCCCGGAACUCCGGGGCCUGCCCUGGCCCCUGUCUUUGCACUCCGCACGCCGCAGCGCCCUGCCCGGGCCGCACCCGCUGGCCUCAUGAGGAGGGACGUGAACGGAGUGACCAAGAGCAGGUUUGAGAUGUUCUCAAACAGUGACGAAGCCGUAAUCAAUAAAAAACUUCCCAAAGAACUCCUGCUAAGGAUAUUUUCUUUCCUGGAUGUUGUUACCCUUUGUCGCUGUGCUCACAAAUCACAGAUGAAGGCCUCAUCACCAUAUGCAGAGGGUGUCAUAAGUUGCAGUCUCUCUGUGCCUCUGGGUGCUCCAACAUCACAGAUGCCAUCCUGAAUGCUCUAGGUCAGAACUGCCCUCGGCUUAGGUAAACGUUGUUUAUUUAGCUCAAAAAAAAAAAAAAAAAA